This 629-nucleotide ribosomal RNA is filed under the name uncultured Xerocomus. RNAcentral's name for it is "eukaryotic LSU rRNA". The stretch from base 205 to 359 matches the Rfam family "5.8S ribosomal RNA". The record is from RNAcentral. Lineage: Eukaryota; Fungi; Basidiomycota; Agaricomycetes; Boletales; Boletaceae.
GACCUGCGGAGGAUCAUUAUCGAAUAUGAUUCGAAGAGGUAGAGAGACUGUCGCCUGGCCAGAUCUUGGCAUGUGCACGUCCCCUCACCUUUUCUAUCUACACACACCUGUGCACCUAUUGUAGAUCCCUCUCGAAAGAGAGGGAACUAUGUUUUCAUCACAUCACACACAACGUAUGUCUAGAAUGUAAAAAACAAUAUAUACAACUUUCAGCAACGGAUCUCUUGGCUCUCGCAUCGAUGAAGAACGCAGCGAAUUGCGAUAAGUAAUGUGAAUUGCAGAUUUCCAGUGAAUCAUCGAAUCUUUGAACGCACCUUGCGCUCCUUGGUAUUCCGAGGAGCAUGCCUGUUUGAGUGUCAUCGAAUUCUCAACCAUUCUCUCUUUUCUGGGAGUAUGGCUUGGACUUGGGGGUUGCUGGCAGCACUGUCAGCUCUCCUUAAAUGUAUUAGCAAUCGAGUUGGCUAGUCUUUUGACGUACACGGCCUCGGACGUGAUAAUGAUCGUCGUGGCUGGAGCGUCUUUCCUAGACUAUGUACAUAGAUCGCUUCUAAUCUGUUGUCUAUCGAGGCUUAGCUACUAGGCAGUCUUUUUGGCUGGCGAACGCAAGCGAGACUUCACUUCUCCAGACU